RNAcentral lists this ribosomal RNA (983 nucleotides) under Alternaria alternata. RNAcentral describes it as "SSU rRNA". It matches the Rfam family "Eukaryotic small subunit ribosomal RNA", at positions 89 to 1082 of the family's 1831-position model. The record is from RNAcentral. Lineage: Eukaryota; Fungi; Ascomycota; Dothideomycetes; Pleosporales; Pleosporaceae.
GCGAAUGGCUCAUUAAAUCAGUUAUCGUUUAUUUGAUAAUACCUUACUACUUGGAUAACCGUGGUAAUUCUAGAGCUAAUACAUGCUGAAAAUCCCGACUUCGGAAGGGAUGUGUUUAUUAGAUAAAAAACCAAUGCCCUUCGGGGCUUUUUGGUGAUUCAUGAUAACUUUACGGAUCGCAUAGCCUUGCGCUGGCGACGGUUCAUUCAAAUUUCUGCCCUAUCAACUUUCGAUGGUAAGGUAUUGGCUUACCAUGGUUUCAACGGGUAACGGGGAAUUAGGGUUCGAUUCCGGAGAGGGAGCCUGAGAAACGGCUACCACAUCCAAGGAAGGCAGCAGGCGCGCAAAUUACCCAAUCCCGACACGGGGAGGUAGUGACAAUAAAUACUGAUACAGGGCUCUUUUGGGUCUUGUAAUUGGAAUGAGUACAAUUUAAACCUCUUAACGAGGAACAAUUGGAGGGCAAGUCUGGUGCCAGCAGCCGCGGUAAUUCCAGCUCCAAUAGCGUAUAUUAAAGUUGUUGCAGUUAAAAAGCUCGUAGUUGAAACUUGGGCCUGGCUGGCGGGUCCGCCUCACCGCGUGCACUCGUCCGGCCGGGCCUUCCUUCUGAAGAACCUCAUGCCCUUCACUGGGCGUGCUGGGGAAUCAGGACUUUUACUUUGAAAAAAUUAGAGUGUUCAAAGCAGGCCUUUGCUCGAAUACGUUAGCAUGGAAUAAUAAAAUAGGGCGUGCGUUUCUAUUUUGUUGGUUUCUAGAGACGCCGCAAUGAUUAACAGGAACAGUCGGGGGCAUCAGUAUUCAGUUGUCAGAGGUGAAAUUCUUGGAUUUACUGAAGACUAACUACUGCGAAAGCAUUUGCCAAGGAUGUUUUCAUUAAUCAGUGAACGAAAGUUAGGGGAUCGAAGACGAUCAGAUACCGUCGUAGUCUUAACCGUAAACUAUGCCGACUAGGGAUCGGGCGAUGUCUUUUUCUGACUCGCUCG